RNAcentral lists this microRNA precursor (67 nucleotides) under Pan paniscus (pygmy chimpanzee). Its description in RNAcentral is "miRNA (ENSPPAG00000018012.1)". Lineage: Eukaryota; Metazoa; Chordata; Mammalia; Primates; Hominidae. The record is from RNAcentral.
UGGUGCAAAAGUAAUUGCGGUUUUUGCCAUUGAAAGUGAUGCCAAAAACUGCAGCUACUUUUGCACC